AACCCCGUCUCUACUAAAAAUACAAAACAAAACAACAACAACAACAACAACAAAACCCACCUCUACAAGCGUGAGCCACCGCGCCCGGGGCCAUUAUUAUUAAUAACUGAGGGACGCCUAGGGAAAACUCAGCAGGAAAUCAAGGACUCUUGUGAGAAAAAUGGAACCCAAAUAGCCCGGACUGGCGCUCCCCGGACUCUGCAGCCGGCGGCGCUGCCGGCGGACGGGGCGGGCUGGGGGCGGGGGGCGCGGCGGAGACGAAGGGGAAGGGGCUGCGCGGCGAGGUUUGCGUCGGGAAAGGUGAGGGCGGCCCGGGCCUCCCGCGGGGGAAGAAAGAGGUGCAGCCACGUGACGCAGCUCAGCCCAGCCCCGGGCGCGCCGGGACCGGAUGCGGGAAGUGGGUUCGGGGCCCCGCUCCCCUGCCCGGCUCGCCCGCCCGCGUCAGCUGACCUGGUUUCCGCGGGCCCCGCGCCCGGCCCCGCGCUCCGCUCCGCGCCCGCCGGCCCGGCCCUCCCUCCCCAGCUAGCCCGGCCGCCGCGGCCUCUUCGGCCCAGCGCCCGGGGCCGUCCUGCAGUUCCCCCGAGUGGGCCCGCAGGCCGCGGCCGCCUGCUCAGCACAGGACCCUUCGCCUCCCCGCGACAGGCGCCUUCACCUCGGGACCCGGCCGCCCUGUUCCCCGCGGCCGCCCCGCUCCCCGCGACGCCCCGCGCCCCGCGACUACCUGCUCUCCGCGGCCGCCCUGCGCCGCUCUGUCCCCCUGCAGCCGCCCAGGCCUCCAGCGAGGGCCGCCGAGGGCUCCAGGCACACCCAGGCCCGUCCUUCUCGCCCGCAGCGCCCCCCCGGGACCCUCAGGGACCCACCUGCCCUGCCCCCGGGGCGCGGCUGUCUGGAGCCUCGGCGCCGUCGCAGCCUCGCAGCCUCCCCGCCUCGCGCCGCGUGGAGCCGGGACCGCGGAAGAAAGGGUCGCCGCGGCCGUCGCGCCAGCCCUCGGGCCUACAUCUGCUCGCGGCCACGCGGCUCGCGAACUAG
Molecule: long non-coding RNA, 1029 nt
Filed under: Papio anubis (olive baboon)
Lineage: Eukaryota; Metazoa; Chordata; Mammalia; Primates; Cercopithecidae
Description: lncRNA (ENSPANG00000045385.1)
Source: RNAcentral